AGGUUAGUUUCUUAAUUGGUAAAGAACUUUCUUAAAAAAAAAGAAAGCUUAUGUCGGUUCGAAUCCGACCUAGCCUA
Molecule: transfer RNA, 77 nt
Filed under: Thelebolus microsporus
Lineage: Eukaryota; Fungi; Ascomycota; Leotiomycetes; Thelebolales; Thelebolaceae
Description: tRNA-Phe
Rfam family: tRNA
About the family: Transfer RNA (tRNA) molecules are approximately 80 nucleotides in length. Their secondary structure includes four short double-helical elements and three loops (D, anti-codon, and T loops).
Source: RNAcentral